Molecule: ribosomal RNA, 443 nt
Filed under: uncultured bacterium
Lineage: Bacteria
Description: partial 16S ribosomal RNA
Rfam family: Bacterial small subunit ribosomal RNA
Source: RNAcentral
CCUACGGGAGGCAGCAGUGGGGAAUAUUGGGCAAUGGGCGCAAGCCUGACCCAGCAACGCCGCGUGAGGGAAGAAGGCUUUCGGGUUGUAAACUUCUUUUCUCAGGGACGAAGCAAGUGACGGUCCCUGAAGAAUACGCCACGGCUCACUACGUGCCAGCCGCCGCGGUAAUACGUAGGUGGCAAGCGUUAUCCGGAUUUACUGGGUGUAAAGGGCGUGUAGGCGGGGCUGCAAGUCAGAUGUGAAAACCACGGGCUCAACCUGUGGCCUGCCUUUGAAACUGUAGUUCUUGAGUACUGGAGAGGCAGACGGAAUGCGCAGUGUAGCGGUGAAAUGCGUAGAUAUUAGGAGGAACACCAGUGGCGAAGGCGGUCUGCUGGACAGCAACUGACGCUGAGGCGCGAAAGCGUGGGGAGCAAACAGGAUUAGAUACCCUAGUAGUC